RNAcentral lists this unclassified non-coding RNA (1295 nucleotides) under Acyrthosiphon pisum (pea aphid). RNAcentral describes it as "uncharacterized LOC100568871, transcript variant X2". Lineage: Eukaryota; Metazoa; Arthropoda; Insecta; Hemiptera; Aphididae. The record is from RNAcentral.
CGGCAUUAGCCCGCCACUAUAGAAAUCGCGCUAUAAUUCGUCUGUCUGUUGGCCACCUCCUUCACCCUUUCCGAUUCUUCCUUCAGUGUUAAAGGAUCUCCAUUGCUGUUCUGUAGAAGAUUCUAUAUGCCUAAUCGUAAUUAUUUCUAUUAUAUUUAUCAGCCGACGAGAACAUGUUUGUGGCAGCCUCUAAUCAUAAGGCUGACAAAUAUUUCAUAAUGGAAUGGACGUAUACGGCCGUGUUCUACGCGUUUUCGUGUUUUGUUUUUUACCAUCUGAUCUACACAGAAAACAUAUUGAAACCAUACUUGGAUGAUCUGACCUUGGACAAUAUCAACUAUGUGCUGAUGACGUCGCUGUCCGUCCUCAUCGUUUUGUUAAAUCCGUUGUUGGCGAGUAGAGCACGUGAGAAGCGAGAAGAAUAUUUCAAACUCUGGCGAGAAUAUCAGAUUCAAUAUGAACAGUACACUAUUGCGAAAUUGGACCUAGGUUCGUCGAUUCUUAUCGUUUUGCUCAUUGUUGUUGGUGCGAUCGUAACAACUCUUGAGUUGGUCGCAAACUGCGCCUUAACAUCGCAAGUACAACCCACUUACGUGUACGCUAAUUGGCUCAUUUAUUUUUAUACGAACCUUACGACCAUCCAGUGGGUCACGGACUGCCAUUUAUUGACUAUAGCCUCCGAGAUGUUGCUCGAUCAAUUGUUAGUACAGAUGACCACUGUGGCCACGUCUAACAGAGUCGACGGCGGCGGCAAAGGUGUCGAAUCGCGCGUGUCCUGUUUCGUCGAUCUUUGGCGAAAACUUUCGGACAUGUCCGGCGGGCUGAUGGACACCGGUCGCGGUCUGUAUGAAUUCAAUUUCUUCGUUCAGUCGGUGAUCGUCGUGCAAGCUCUAUACGGUAUCGUCGCCCUGUACAUCGGUCGACAUCACUCAAUUAUACACUACUACGUAUACUUUCCAACCGCCGCAUGGUCGAUUUUAAAUCUGGUCGUUCUGUGCGAGGCUGCGUAUUCGGUCACCAACCAAGUGGGAUUCAAAACCAAUAUAUCAAUACAGUUAAUGGCUUGCAAUAAAUUCAAUUUAGAAACUCAAGAGCAGGUAAUCAGUUAUCACAAACAAAAGUGAUUUAAUAAUGAUUCCUUUGAAUUAACUUCAAUAUAGAAUAUUAAUGAUACCUAAACUACUUAAUAUAUUAGAUUUUUACGGCUUUGAAAACUAUCCAAUCCCACACACCUGUAAUAACUGUAAGUGGUUACUUUACUAUGGAUCGAACAUACAUACUGACUUAUCUCGGAG